RNAcentral lists this ribosomal RNA (522 nucleotides) under uncultured Aquabacterium sp. RNAcentral's name for it is "bacterial SSU rRNA". It matches the Rfam family "Bacterial small subunit ribosomal RNA", at positions 8 to 527 of the family's 1533-position model. Lineage: Bacteria; Pseudomonadati; Pseudomonadota; Betaproteobacteria; Burkholderiales; Sphaerotilaceae. The record is from RNAcentral.
AGAGUUUGAUUAUGGCUCAGAUUGAACGCUGGCGGCAUGCCUUACACAUGCAAGUCGAACGGUAACGCGGGGCAACCUGGCGACGAGUGGCGAACGGGUGAGUAAUAUAUCGGAACGUGCCCAGUAGUGGGGGAUAGCCCGGCGAAAGCCGGAUUAAUACCGCAUGAGACCUGAGGGUGAAAGCGGGGGAUCGCAAGACCUCGCGCUAUUGGAGCGGCCGAUAUCAGAUUAGGUAGUUGGUGGGGUAAAAGCCUACCAAGCCGACGAUCUGUAGCUGGUCUGAGAGGACGACCAGCCACACUGGGACUGAGACACGGCCCAGACUCCUACGGGAGGCAGCAGUGGGGAAUUUUGGACAAUGGGCGCAAGCCUGAUCCAGCCAUGCCGCGUGCGGGAAGAAGGCCUUCGGGUUGUAAACCGCUUUUGUCAGGGAAGAAAUCCUUUGGGUUAAUACCUCGGAGGGAUGACGGUACCUGAAGAAUAAGCACUGGCUAACUACGUGCCAGCAGCCGCGGUAAUACA